GUUUGAUCAUGGCUCAGAUUGAACGCUGGCGGGAUGCUUUACACAUGCAAGUCGAACGGCAGCACGGACUUCGGUCUGGUGGCGAGUGGCGAACGGGUGAGUAAUGUAUCGGAACGUGCCUAGUAGCGGGGGAUAACUACGCGAAAGCGUAGCUAAUACCACAUACCUACGCCCUUCGGGGAAAGCGGGGGGACCUUCGGGCCUCGCACUAUUAGAGCGGCCGAUAUCGGAUUAGCUAGUUGGUGGGGGUAACGGCUCACCAAGGCGACGAUCCGUAGCUGGUUUGAGAGGACGACUAGCCACACUGGGACUGAGACACAGCCCAGACUCCUACGGGAGGCAGCAGUGGGAAAUUUUGGACAAUGGGGAAACCCUGAUCCAGCCAUCCCGCGUGUGCAAUGAAGGCCUUCCGGGUUGUAAAGAAAAACACUUUUGGCAGGAAAGAAACGGCACGGGAUAAUACCCGUGCGCUGACCAGUACCACUGCAGAAUAGCACCAGCUAACCGUGCCAGCAGCCAUGACUAUUACGUAGGGUGCAAGCGUUAAUCGGAAUUACUGGGCGUAAAGCGUGCGCAGGCGGUUCCGGAAAGAAAGAUGUAAAUCCCAGAGCUUAACUUUGGAACUGCAUUUUUAACUGCCAGCUAGAGUGUGUGUCAGAGGAGGUGGAAUUCCGCGUGUAGCAGUGAAAUGCGUAGAUAUGCGGAGGAGCACCGAUGGCGAAGGCAACCUCCUGGGAUAGCACUGACGGCUCAUGCGGCGUGGGAGCAAGCAAGUUGCAGAUACCCUGGUAGUCCACGCCUAAACGAUGUCAACUGGCUGUUGAGACUGUGCGGGCCUUGGUAGCGCAGCUAACGCGUGAAGUUGACACUUACUGGGGAGUACGGUCGCAAGGAAUUAAACUCAAGGAAUUGACGGGGACCACUAAGCAGUGGAUGAUGUGGAUUAAUUCGAUGCAACGCGAAAAACCUUACCUACCCGCUUGACAUGUCUGAAUCCCGAAGAGAUUUGGUUACCUCGCAGGAAACACAGUUUACAGGUACUUUGCAUGGCUGUCGAUCAAUAAGUAACCGUCGAGAUGUUGGGUUAAGUCCCGCAACGAGCGCAACCCUUGCAAUCAUUAGUUGCUACGAAAGGGCACUCUAAUGAAACUGCCGGUGACAAACCGGAGGAAGGUGGGGAUGACGUCAAAAGUCCUCAUGGCCCAUAUGGGUAGGGCUUCACACGUCAUACAAUGGUCGGGACAGAGGGUCGCAACCGCCCGCGAGGGGGAGCCAAUCCCAGAAACCUGAUCGUAGUCUGGAUCGCAGUCUGCAACUCGACUGCGUGAAGUCGGAAUCGCUAGUAAUCGCAGAUUAACUAUGUCGCGGUGAAUACGUUCCCGGAGUCUUAUACACACCGCCCGUCACACCAUGGGAGUGGGUUUUACCAGAAAGUAGUUAACCUAACCGUAAAGGGCGAUUACCACGAUAGGAUUCAUGACUGGGGUGAAGUCGUAACGAGUGG
RNAcentral lists this ribosomal RNA (1504 nucleotides) under uncultured Bordetella sp. RNAcentral's name for it is "partial 16S-23S ribosomal RNA intergenic spacer". It matches the Rfam family "Bacterial small subunit ribosomal RNA". Lineage: Bacteria; Pseudomonadati; Pseudomonadota; Betaproteobacteria; Burkholderiales; Alcaligenaceae. The record is from RNAcentral.